This 367-nucleotide unclassified non-coding RNA is filed under the name uncultured bacterium. RNAcentral describes it as "contains 16S-23S intergenic spacer region". The record is from RNAcentral.
UCCAGGUUACCCUGGCAGUCUAUUUAGAGAGUCUCAACUAAAUGUUAGCAACUAAAUACGAGGGUUGCGUUCGUUCUAGCACUUAAGCAUACACUUCACAGCACGAACUGACGACGACCAUGCACCACCUGUGUAAUUCAACUAGGUUUCCCUAGUUUAGCAUUGCUGCAUUACAUGUCAAGCCUUGGUAAGGUUCUGCGCGUCGUAUCGAAUUAAACCACAUGCUCCACCGCUUGUGCGGGUCCCCGUCAAUUCCUUUGAGUUUUAGCCUUGCGGCCGUACUACCCAGGCGGAGCAUUUAAAGCGUUAGCUGCGACACUGAGUAAAAACCCAAUGCCUAAUGCUCAUCGUUUAGGGCGUGGACUAC